GGGGACUUAGCUCAGCGGUAGAGCGCUUGCCUAGCGAGCACAAGGCCCUUGGGUUCAGUCCCCA
Molecule: transfer RNA, 64 nt
Filed under: Rattus norvegicus (Norway rat)
Lineage: Eukaryota; Metazoa; Chordata; Mammalia; Rodentia; Muridae
Rfam family: tRNA
About the family: Transfer RNA (tRNA) molecules are approximately 80 nucleotides in length. Their secondary structure includes four short double-helical elements and three loops (D, anti-codon, and T loops).
Source: Rfam by way of RNAcentral